This 95-nucleotide transfer RNA is filed under the name Microbacterium aerolatum. RNAcentral's name for it is "tRNA-Arg". Lineage: Bacteria; Bacillati; Actinomycetota; Actinomycetes; Micrococcales; Microbacteriaceae. The record is from RNAcentral.
GCUCGAUCGUCAGGCGGCCCUGUGACCGGUUCCUUCGGUGAGCGGGUCCGUGCGGCGCUGGCCGCGCGGGGCCCGCUCUGCGUCGGCAUCGACCC